GUCGGUGUGUACGUAUUCGUGUGAAUGUAAUUUAUAUUUUCAGUGCGAUUGAAAAGCUUCCCGUCUCGGCUCCGGGCAAGCAGCGACGUCCUACCGGGGACUCAGCGGUGUGUCCUCGGCGAGCCUGCCUGCAGAGUGACGCCCCGCGCGGUACAGCCUGCCGUCUCUCCCCCGCUGACUCCGGCUCGCAUAACCUACCGGAGAAAAUCCGCGAAACAACAUCGUGAAUGGAGUGGCGAGGAGCUCCAUGUGUGGACAGGCCGUGAUGGCAGAGAUGAAUCGGGAAAGUAGAACCUAUUCACAUUCAGUUUCUGUUUUUGUCGUCGCUUAUUCUUGGGACGUGAAGAUUCUUAAACUCGAUUUCCUAAUGGUAAGGCCUUCAUAAAGCACAAAGUUGAAUUUUAAUCCCCGAAUCUGUUGUUCAAAGCUCAGAAACAAGACACGAUAGAAAAAGAUAGAAGGAGAGGAAAAUGAGCAGAGUUGAAUUGCACG
Molecule: long non-coding RNA, 492 nt
Organism: Hippocampus comes (tiger tail seahorse)
Lineage: Eukaryota; Metazoa; Chordata; Actinopteri; Syngnathiformes; Syngnathidae
Exons: 3
Source: RefSeq, a predicted model, not a curated record